RNAcentral lists this long non-coding RNA (1910 nucleotides) under Helianthus annuus (common sunflower). RNAcentral describes it as "hypothetical non coding rna". The record is from RNAcentral. Lineage: Eukaryota; Viridiplantae; Streptophyta; Magnoliopsida; Asterales; Asteraceae.
GUUUGCAAAAUCACCGUUUCAAUUUUCUAAUCAAAUCACCCCCAAAAUGGAUCACCAAAUACUACUCGCACCAAAAGCACAAUGACGGAUCUGAAACCGAACGUCCAACCAUCAUCUUCUCUAUCUUCACAUGAUGCUGUAGUUCAAUCGUUCUCCAUUUAAAAUCAAUUCCAGUAAAAGAAUAAUCGACGGUGUUGAAUAAUGGUUCUGAUUCGAAGGUUUCGACAUCAAUACGGCUUCGAGCGACCUGAGGCGCCACAUUCACUAUGAAAUAGUCACCUUCAAUCGUACACUUCUUCUUCUUCUUCUUCUUCGUCUUCUUCUUCUUCUAUAUUUCGAUCUUCCCAGGUUUGUACUUAUUGCGAUUUAAUGGAUUAUUAUUAGCUGAAGUGUUCUUAGAUGAUUCGGUCGAUGAAUAUUACAUUUGACAAGUGACUAUCAACUGAUUAAAAGCAAAUAUAGUCACAAUUUUGCAUUUAGGGUUUUGAUUAUUAAACUUUAAAAUUACAUGUAUAUGUUUGUGCUUUUUUUUUACUUUUAGGUUUUUAGUUUUAGUGAGUUUUAUUUUUUAUUUUUUAAGCUCUACGUAUGUAGUUAUUGUUUUUUUAUUUAUUGAUUUUAGUGCCCAUCACAAUAACACCUAUUCCACAAUAUGUGAUUAUGGUGCAUUCUUGUUUGAUGUUUUGUAUGUGAUGUCUAAUUUGGUGUUUUUUUGGUUAAUUACUUUAGGGCACUGGUAGUUUUAUAUUUGAUAUUGGUAUAUUGUUGAUUUUUUUUUCACAGUGAGGUCAAAAGUACCAAAAGUUGGGCAAACCAAGUCUAGUAUAGACUAUCAAAUAUACCAACAAUAUAUGAUAUACUAGACUCUCACCAACAGUGACGAAGUUUGAGAUUUCCGACCGGAGGGUCGAAGACGUAUAUACCAAAAAUUUCUAUAAAACCGGGGGGUCAAGAACGUAUAUAUCCAAAAAAAAAUUUAUACGAAAACUAAAUACUCUCCACUACUGAGUGAAAAGUUCGGGGGGUCGGCCGCCCCCUCCCGCCCCCACAAAGCUACGCCAUUGCUCACCAAGUGGUUUUUUUUUUUUUACUUUUAAGUUGAAUAUUAUUGGACUCUCACCAAAUCCUCAUAUCAUGAUAGAAUGUUAAAACGUGUAAAAUUGCUAGCAUAUAUGACAAGUACAUUUUGACCUGCUUUUAAGUUUUGUUGUUGCAUUUCUUAUAGUGGAUAAAUAAUACAUGUCUCUUGUAUCCGUUGAACAGCUAGUGAAGCUGGCAAAGAACUCUGUCAUGAAAAGACGCUGAAUUUUGAAGAUUUUAGGGAGCUGAAUUUGAAGCCAAAUUCGGGAAGCUUGUUGAACUCGGGUUCAGCAGAGAUGCAGUUAUACAAGCUCUAAAGCUUUUUGAUGGUUGAUCCAAAAUUUGAUUUGGAUAUGAAUUAAGAUGAUGCGGAAGACGAGUGUUGCAACUAUAGACGGGUCAAGCAUAUAUAUGUUGACAAGUAUGUGUUCAAGCCCUUUAUCUCGGUCUACUAGGAUGAACAUCUGUUAGAUGUGCAAAUUACCAUAGCAUGGGGUCUACAAGUAGCAUGAAUAAAACACUUGGGAGGAUUAUACAACAAUAAAACCGGUCACAAGUUACAAGUUUACUCCUCACCACAACAGCGGUAAUGUGGCCAUGAAACCAUGGAUGCAAAUUUGCAGCACUUUUGGGUCUAAAACAGUGAGUAGAUGGACUUGAAGAAAACAAUCUGGAAAUAGUUUCUAGUUUAUAUGUAAAGUCAUUUUUCGGUGUAACAUUUGUAGAUAGGUUCUGAUUAGAAGUUAAUGUUUUUAAUUAGUAUUAGUAUUUAAAUUGAAAACUUAUGUAUGGAUUGGGUUAUUAUUGUUAAUAUCAUUUGGUUUUUAGUU